This is a long non-coding RNA of Homo sapiens (human), 1354 nucleotides long. Ensembl annotates it as UBAC2 antisense RNA 1. Its record names the gene UBAC2-AS1. NCBI's taxonomy places the organism in Eukaryota, Metazoa, Chordata, Mammalia, Primates, Hominidae. The record is from Ensembl.
GGUAGGGGAGGGCUCACCUCUCCAGGUUGAAACGAUGGCGGUCAGAACCGCCUGAGGUAAAAACGGGUGGCACUGGGGAAGCGGAGGCGUAGCUCCCGAGAGCCUCACACUUGUGCUCAGUGCCGCCUCACCCCUGGUGGAUCCGCGAUGGCCGCGGAUUCCCCUGGAUUGCCGGCGCUGGGCAGGAGCGCCACUUCUAAUCUCUCCCGAGACUGGACGCCCGGCGCCUUCCACGCGCGUUGUGUCUUUCCGGGCGGUCCCUCGAAGCUGGCUACCCCGCGGGCUGUUGACUGCAGUGGGAUCUGGUCACUCAGAUGCGGAUAGAGGGCUAAAUGCAAGAUGGUAUGGCAUCCAGACUCUGCUCAUAAGUAUCUGCAGUGAUCCAUACCUUGAUUGUACAUCUACUCUGCAUCCUGAGGACCUGAACAUGCUAACUGGUGGCUGCAGAUUUGUCUUCUAAGGAGCAAGUGUGGUCUGUGGACAGGCAGCUUCAGCCUCACCUGGGAUUUUGUUUGCACUAGAAAGUGCCAAGCCCUACCCUAGACCUAUUAAAGCAGAACUGGCGUUUAACAAGACACCCCAGAAUUAUGAAAACUAAAGCUAUUUACAGCUUUUAACAAUUGAGUAAAGUAUACUGUUACCAGAAUUGGGAGCAUAUUUGUUUCUCUCUACCUGGUUUCUCCAGAAUUUGGAAACUAUUUAGUCACUGAAAACUAAGCUGUGUUUUCUUAAAACCCUGCAAACUGAAGCCAGACAACUUGAACUUCAGAAGAAAAUAACAGCAACCUAUUUACGUACAUAAGCCACUUUCAUACCUGCCUACUAAUGUAUGGACUUCAGAGUAAUGUGGCUUAUAUCGAUUUUUCUAGGAUUGUUCUUUUGUUUGUUGUUGUUUUUUCUCCCUUCCUCCCUGCUAUUUUCUCUUCACAGAAUGUGAGACUUCACAACCUACUAAAAAUGAGCUUUUGGGACUUACCCAUCUAGGAAUAAACCAUCAUAGCUAUGAGAAAUCAGAUGAAGCCUGAGACCAGAGACUCAUUUUUUUGCAAAAUGCUUUCUCCGACAGAUUUUACAAAAGAAAAGUGGUGGGGGGCAGGCACAGUGGCUCACACCUGUAAUCCCAGCACUUUGGGAGGCCGAGGUGGGUGGAUUACCUGAGGUCAGGAGUUUAAGACCAACCUGACCAACAUGGUGAAACCCCGUCUCUAUGAAAAAUACAAAAAUUAGCCAGGCAUGGUGGUGGGCACCUGUAGUCCCAGCUACUCGGGAGGCUGAGACAAGAGAAUUGCUUGAACCCAAGAGGCGGAGGUUGCAGUGAGCUGAGAUCACGCCACUUCAGUCCAGCCUGGGCGAU